CCCGUUUUCCGGUUUUCAUGACCUACAUUUGCCGGUCAUAGUUCUUGGCUCAUAGCGGAGACGAGUGGGGGCUAGAGAGAGAGAAAGAGCAGAAAGUUCCCGUCGCCGACGUUAUGUUGCUCCGUAGGCUAGAGAGCCACCGUCACCGGCGGUGUUUGUCAGUCCAAGGGUUCCUAUGGCGUUCUCUAGAAUCCCCGAUUCUGGCAUAGCAACUGGAUUUUAGGGCACCGUUCGUCGGAGCUCAAGAUCAUUGCAUGCCUUCUGGAUUUUUGGGGUUUUCACUGUGGCCGGUCUAUAAUGGUUGGUUGUUGCCGGCGUCGUUCAAGGGCACUUAUGGUUUCGAUGAUGGCUAGGGUUUCCUAUGCUGAGACUCUAACCGACUUUGAUGGGUGGUGAUUGCUUUUAUCUACGAUUAUCAAUGACUAUGGGUGUCUUCAUCUGAGAUGUUCUUCAUUUGAAUUUUGAAACCGGUGAUUUGGGCUACCGAGCGCUUUCUACGGUCGCGGGCGGUGGGCUGACCUUUGGCCAUUGGGUUAACCAGGUAGCCAUGAAUUUAUUCGUUAACAUGGAAUGCUUUUAUGUAUUCAUAAAUUGCUAAAAGUAUGUUCGUUCUUAAAGUUAAUAAUGUUGUUGAUGC
RNAcentral lists this long non-coding RNA (637 nucleotides) under Helianthus annuus (common sunflower). Its description in RNAcentral is "sRNA HanXRQr2_Chr16g0753011". Lineage: Eukaryota; Viridiplantae; Streptophyta; Magnoliopsida; Asterales; Asteraceae. The record is from RNAcentral.